CAAGCACCUAAACCCAAGAACUGCUGUUUGCUGUAGCAGCAGUUGAAACAGGUGCUAACAGCAAGUGGAUCUUGUCGCCUUUGGGGGCUGUGACUGUGCCCCUCAAAGUGAAUUGGAAGGUUCUACACUC
This is a small nucleolar RNA of Myotis lucifugus (little brown bat), 130 nucleotides long. Ensembl annotates it as small nucleolar RNA SNORA68. The record is from Ensembl. Lineage: Eukaryota; Metazoa; Chordata; Mammalia; Chiroptera; Vespertilionidae.